GGCUUAUUAGCUCAGUUGGUUAGAGCGUCGUGCUAAUAACGCGAAAGUCAUAGGUUUGAGACCCGUAUGGGCCA
Transfer RNA from Ipomoea nil (Japanese morning glory), 74 nucleotides. It matches the Rfam family "tRNA". Rfam says of the family: Transfer RNA (tRNA) molecules are approximately 80 nucleotides in length. Their secondary structure includes four short double-helical elements and three loops (D, anti-codon, and T loops). Lineage: Eukaryota; Viridiplantae; Streptophyta; Magnoliopsida; Solanales; Convolvulaceae. The record is from Rfam.